RNAcentral lists this ribosomal RNA (253 nucleotides) under uncultured bacterium. Its description in RNAcentral is "partial 16S ribosomal RNA". It matches the Rfam family "Bacterial small subunit ribosomal RNA", at positions 524 to 776 of the family's 1533-position model. The record is from RNAcentral.
CACGUAGGGCGCAAGCGUUGUCCGGAAUUAUUGGGCGUAAAGAGCUCGUAGGCGGUCUGUUGCGUCGGCUGUGAAAUCCCGAGGCUCAACCUCGGGUCUGCAGUCGAUACGAGCAAACUAGAGUGUUGCAGGGGAGACUGGAAUUCCUGGUGUAGCGGUGAAAUGCGCAGAUAUCAGGAGGAACACCGGUGGCGAAGGCGGGUCUCUGGGCAGUUCCUGACGCUGAGGCACGAAGGUCAGGGGAGCAAACGGG